RNAcentral lists this ribosomal RNA (421 nucleotides) under uncultured bacterium. RNAcentral's name for it is "bacterial SSU rRNA". It matches the Rfam family "Bacterial small subunit ribosomal RNA", at positions 355 to 774 of the family's 1533-position model. The record is from RNAcentral.
UAAGGAAUAUUGGUCAAUGGACGCAAGUCUGAACCAGCCAUGCCGCGUGAAGGAUGAAGGUCCUCUGGAUUGUAAACUUCUUUUAUCUGGGACGAAAACGGGAUUUUUAUCUCAACUGACGGUACCAGAGGAAUAAGCACCGGCUAACUCCGUGCCAGCAGCCGCGGUAAUACGGAGGGUGCGAGCGUCAUCCGGAUUUACUGGGUUUAAAGGGUGCGUAGGUGGGCUUAUAAGUCAGUGGUGGAAUCUCCGAGCUUAACUUGGAAACUGCCGUUGAUACUAUAGGUCUUGAAUUAUCUGGAGNUAAGCGGAAUAUGUCAUGUAGCGGUGAAAUGCUUAGAUAUGACAUAGAACACCAAUUGCGAAGGCAGCUUACUACAUAUAAAUUGACGCUGAGGCACGAAAGCGUGGGGAUCAAACA